GAAUUCAGUAGCUAUUCAUGAUUUUAAAAGAAAAAAACUUCUAGUAAACUAGGAAUGGUAGGAAAUUUCUUCAACUUGCAGCUGAUGUUCAGCAGCAAGGAGGCAACUGAGUAGGUGUGCGCUCUGAACCAUGUCAUGGCCACUUCCCCUGCACUGCUGCUACUCCCCCACUAAGGAACAGAUUGGAAGGAUGAAUUCUUACAAGUGGCCUGAGAGGGAGGUUGAGGUAGCUGGGACUCAAACAGGCUCUCAUAUGAGAUGGAGAC
This is a long non-coding RNA of Ochotona princeps (American pika), 266 nucleotides long. RefSeq lists it as uncharacterized. NCBI's taxonomy places the organism in Eukaryota, Metazoa, Chordata, Mammalia, Lagomorpha, Ochotonidae. The transcript has 3 exons. The record is from RefSeq and is a predicted model, not a curated record.